AUCCAGUUGAUCAGUCCCAAAUAGAGCGAAACGCGCGUCCUGGAU
Non-coding RNA from Schistosoma margrebowiei, 45 nucleotides. NCBI's taxonomy places the organism in Eukaryota, Metazoa, Platyhelminthes, Trematoda, Strigeidida, Schistosomatidae. The record is from Rfam.